This 571-nucleotide ribosomal RNA is filed under the name Neurospora africana. RNAcentral's name for it is "eukaryotic LSU rRNA". The stretch from base 205 to 358 matches the Rfam family "5.8S ribosomal RNA". The record is from RNAcentral. Lineage: Eukaryota; Fungi; Ascomycota; Sordariomycetes; Sordariales; Sordariaceae.
GCGGAGGGAUCAUUACAGAGUUGCAAAACUCCCACAAACCAUCGCGAAUCUUACCCGUACGGUUGCCUCGGCGCUGGCGGUCCGGAAGGCCCUCGGGCCCCCCGGAUCCUCGGGUCUCCCGCUCGCGGGAGGCUGCCCGCCGGAGUGCCGAAACCAAACUCUUGAUAUUUCAUGUCUCUCUGAGUAAACUUUUAAAUAAGUCAAAACUUUCAACAACGGAUCUCUUGGUUCUGGCAUCGAUGAAGAACGCAGCGAAAUGCGAUAAGUAAUGUGAAUUGCAGAAUUCAGUGAAUCAUCGAAUCUUUGAACGCACAUUGCGCCCGCCAGUAUUCUGGCGGGCAUGCCUGUUCGAGCGUCAUUUCAACCAUCAAGCUCUGCUUGCGUUGGGGAUCCGCGGCUGCCCGCGGUCCCUCAAAAACAGUGGCGGGCUCGCUAGUCACACCGAGCGUAGUAACUCUACAUCGCUAUGGUCGUGCGGCGGGUUCUUGCCGUAAAACCCCCCAAUUUUUAAGGUUGACCUCGAAUCAGGUAGGAAUACCCGCUGAACUUAAGCAUAUCAAUAGUCGGAGGA